This 301-nucleotide ribosomal RNA is filed under the name uncultured bacterium. Its description in RNAcentral is "partial 16S ribosomal RNA". It matches the Rfam family "Bacterial small subunit ribosomal RNA", at positions 509 to 809 of the family's 1533-position model. The record is from RNAcentral.
CAGCAGCCGCGGUAAUACGUAGGUGGCAAGCGUUGUCCGGAAUUAUUGGGCGUAAAGGGCUCGCAGGCGGUUUCUUAAGUCUGAUGUGAAUGCCCCCGGCUCAACCGGGGAGGGUCAUUGGAAACUGGGAAACUUGAGUGCAGAAGAGGAGAGUGGAAUUCCACGUGUAGCGGUGAAAUGCGUAGAGAUGUGGAGGAACACCAGUGACGAAGGCGACUCUCUGGUCUGUAACUGACGCUGAGGAGCGAAAGCGUGGGGAGCGAACAGGAUUAGAUACCCCCGUAGUCCCUGUCUCUUAUAA